UACGUAGGGGGCAAGCGUUGUCCGGAUUUAUUGGGCGUAAAGAGCGUGUAGGCGGCCAGAUAGGUCUGUUGUGAAGACUCGAGGCUCAACCUCGAGACGCCGAUGGAAACCAUCUGGCUAGAGUCCGGAAGAGGAGAGUGGAAUUCCUGGUGUAGCGGUGAAAUGCGCAGAUAUCAGGAAGAACACCCGUGGCUAAGGCGGCUCUCUAGUACGGUACUGACGCUGAGACGCGAAAGCGUGGGGAGCGAACAGG
Molecule: ribosomal RNA, 253 nt
Filed under: uncultured bacterium
Lineage: Bacteria
Description: partial 16S ribosomal RNA
Rfam family: Bacterial small subunit ribosomal RNA
Source: RNAcentral